UGUUGACCAUAAGUAAACUUGGACUUCUGCUGAGGGCGACGCCCAGGCUUGUAGUUUGGGAGGGAAGCCAUGAAGUCAAUAGCAUAUAUCCUUGGAGCGACCAAAGUGUUACAAUGUGUGCAACACUCCCUACUACAUCUCUUAUGAAUAUUUGGCCGAGAACUAGUAGCAGGUGCAAUAGAAGAAGGAUCAAGAAGGGCCAAACCAAGUGGUGUAUUAAUUUGGCUUAAAUGACACGUUGAGAUUCAUCCUGCAGCAAAAGUGAAUUGGCACGACCCAAGGAUGGAAGGGGUACCAUGAGGGGUAUUUGGCUACGGACAUUAGCAUUCGUAUCAUUCAAGCCCAUCAAAAACUGCAUCAAUUGUUGUUGAUUGAGGUGAUCAGAAAUCCUCUUGGAAGAGCUGCACCGACAGGUAAGAUGGGGAUCAUAUAUAGUGGCCUGUUGAAAUGAUCACUC
RNAcentral lists this long non-coding RNA (457 nucleotides) under Phoenix dactylifera (date palm). Its description in RNAcentral is "long non-coding RNA (PDAC_LNC014066)". Lineage: Eukaryota; Viridiplantae; Streptophyta; Magnoliopsida; Arecales; Arecaceae. The record is from RNAcentral.